UUGACAGCACUGGGAACUGCAGUUCUCCAUUUAUCCACAGAACAGGUACUGCACGGGCAGCGGCAGUGCAAGCUUUCCCCCACUGCCCUUCCAUUGUGCCUCAGCCCUGUUCUGGACUGGAGGGACAGCCUCUGAGGGUGAGAGGGACAUUCAGUUUCAAAGUCCAUCCACUACUUUCAUUCU
Non-coding RNA from Pelobates cultripes (western spadefoot toad), 183 nucleotides. Lineage: Eukaryota; Metazoa; Chordata; Amphibia; Anura; Pelobatidae. The record is from the annotation of a GenBank genome assembly.